AGAGAGAGACAUGCGCGCAUAUCAAUAAGCGGAGGAAAAGAAACUAACAAGGAUUCCCCUAGUAACGGCGAGUGAAGCGGGAAGAGCUCAAAUUUGAAAUCUUAAAGGGUUUCCCUUUACGAAUCGUAGUUUAAAGAAGUGUUUUCUGUUGAGGUUUUGGUAAAAGUUCUUUGGAAUAGGACAUCAUAGAGGGUGAGAAUCCCGUAUUUGACCUUUACUUUCAACUUUGUGAUACACUUUCAAAGAGUCGGAUUGUUUGGGAAUGCAGUCCAAAAUGGGUGGUAAAUUUCAUCUAAAGCUAAAUAUUGGCGAGAGACCGAUAGCGAACAAGUACCGUGAGGGAAAGAUGAAAAGAACUUUGAAAAGAGAGUUAAACAGUACGUGAAAUUGUCAAAAGGGAAGCGUUUGACACCAGUGUUGUUUUUCUGAAAAUCAAUUAAAGAACUGUUUAUGCCUAAGUUGUUUAGACUUUAUCAGCUAUCUGUUUAGUUUUGAGCUUUUCUUUAAUGCACUUUUCAGUUAACAAGUCAACAUCAAUUUCUUUUGCUGUAAAAAAGCUUGAGGAAGGUGGCUUGAGAUUCGUCUUAAGUGUUUAUAGCCUCUUGCCUAUGCAGUCGGAGAGAUUGAGGUCUGCAGCGUAGAUCCUUCGGGGCUAAAUGCAUUUGUGCUAAGUUAUAGCAUUUUAUAGACAACUUGUUGACUAUGAUUUGUCUUGUAGCUUACUCGCUUAUGUUAUUUUACCUACGCUUAGGAUGUUGAGCGCAUGUCUCUCUCU
RNAcentral lists this ribosomal RNA (775 nucleotides) under uncultured Neocallimastigales. RNAcentral describes it as "partial large subunit ribosomal RNA". It matches the Rfam family "Eukaryotic large subunit ribosomal RNA", at positions 23 to 616 of the family's 3401-position model. The record is from RNAcentral. Lineage: Eukaryota; Fungi; Neocallimastigomycota; Neocallimastigomycetes; Neocallimastigales.